Molecule: long non-coding RNA, 988 nt
Filed under: Linum usitatissimum (flax)
Lineage: Eukaryota; Viridiplantae; Streptophyta; Magnoliopsida; Malpighiales; Linaceae
Description: long non-coding RNA (LUSI_LNC003492)
Source: RNAcentral
CACUUUUCAAAAAAAUUGUAUAGCUUUGGAGAAUCUAUCAAAUAAAGGAUUUCAUAGAUUUGACCUAAUUCACCCUAUAACAAGAACUAGGUUGAAAACCCAACAAUCAAAGGAAUCAUUCAUUUGAAUCCAAAUAUCCAACAAUCAUCGACCCUAUACUUUUAGGGAGAGUAUCAUAGCUCAAAUCCUACAUCUCAACCAAGAAAUUCUAAAGAAUUAGCUACAUAUGAUUCUAGGAGAAGACAAAUCAAAAUAUGACCUAACCAUCAUAUUGAUGAGGAGACGAUGAAUCGAUCCUGCUCCAAUUGUCGCUUUUAAUCUUCUAGCUUCAGUCCUAGCUUCAAUCUUCGAUGUGGACUCCUUUGGAUCUUUAAUUGGACUUCUAGGGAUGGAGAAACGUGUUUUUGCAGAGAAGUUGUGAAAAAGUCGAAGGAAUUCGUUCUGGGGAAGUCUCCCUCUCUUUCCUCAAAAACUGUCCUUUUAUAGGAAGCUGCCAAAACUGGAGGGUGCACGCCGUGCACCUCCUUGUCUUUAGAAUCCUGCGUAGCUCAAUGGAAGGAAUGGCGUGCAGGGGUGCAAGUCGUUCCCCUGUUAUAGGGCUCUGGUUUUCAACAAUCCCAGGCCUGCACGGCGUGCAACCCUUCUGCUUCUCCAUUUCCUUUCUCGAUCUUCCGUUCGAGCUCCAACUAUACUCUACUUCACGUCCAUAACUUCAUAACCAUACCAUCUAUCUCUAGAUUACCUGUGGAUAACAAAUACUACAAAGAAACACAUCAAAUGGACCAAAACGGUCCAAGUGAAUGGGUCUAGGCACAUAAUGCAAAACACGAAAUCACACGGGAAUGAAGUUCGAACAAACUAAUAUUCACUCAAAAAACAUGCAAAUAAAAAUAGAUAAUUACUACAAAUCCUAACACUAUCAGUAAACUGAUAACCUUAACCAGCUGGAUUAGGAUUCUAAAAUCUUAAUCAUACGCAAAUCUUAAUC